UUCGAUUCUGGCUCAGGAUGAACGCUGGCGGCGUGCCUAACACAUGCAAGUCGAACGGGUCUAUCGUCUUGGAGGCUUCGGCCAAAGAGGCUUUAGAUUAGUGGCGGACGGGUGAGUAACGCGUGGAGAACCUGCCCUGUACUGGGGGAUAACAGUGAGAAAUCACUGCUAAUACCGCAUAAGCGCACGAGGCCGCAUGGCCUUGUGUGAAAAAACUCCGGUGGUACAGGAUGGCUCCGCGUUGGAUUAGCCAGUUGGCGGGGUAACGGCCCACCAAAGCGACGAUCCAUAGCCGGCCUGAGAGGGUGAACGGCCACAUUGGGACUGAGACACGGCCCAGACUCCUACGGGAGGCAGCAGUGGGGAAUAUUGCACAAUGGGGGGAACCCUGAUGCAAGCGACGCCGCGUGAAGGAUGAAGUAUCUCGGUAUGUAAACUUCUAUCAGCAGGGAAGAUGAUGACGGUACCUGACUAAGAAGCCCCGGCUAACUACGUGCCAGCCGCCGC
RNAcentral lists this ribosomal RNA (507 nucleotides) under uncultured bacterium. RNAcentral's name for it is "bacterial SSU rRNA". It matches the Rfam family "Bacterial small subunit ribosomal RNA", at positions 12 to 518 of the family's 1533-position model. The record is from RNAcentral.